RNAcentral lists this ribosomal RNA (253 nucleotides) under uncultured bacterium. Its description in RNAcentral is "partial 16S ribosomal RNA". It matches the Rfam family "Bacterial small subunit ribosomal RNA", at positions 524 to 776 of the family's 1533-position model. The record is from RNAcentral.
UACAGAGGGGGCAAGCGUUGUUCGGAAUUACUGGGCGUAAAGGGCGCGUAGGCGGCCUGCUAAGUCGAACGUGAAAUCCCCGGGCUCAACCCGGGAACUGCGUCCGAUACUGGCAGGCUUGAAUUCGGGAGAGGGAUGUGGAAUUCCAGGUGUAGCGGUGAAAUGCGUAGAUAUCUGGAGGAACACCGGUGGCGAAGGCGGCAUCCUGGACCGAGAUUGACGCUGAUGCGCGAAAGCCAGGGGAGCAAACGGG